This 70-nucleotide small RNA is filed under the name Arabidopsis thaliana (thale cress). RNAcentral describes it as "ATSL081810". Lineage: Eukaryota; Viridiplantae; Streptophyta; Magnoliopsida; Brassicales; Brassicaceae. The record is from RNAcentral.
AAUAGUACCUUAAAUCGUUUAAUAUGCCCACUACUACGAUCGAAGUUACUACACUACUCUUUUUACCAUU